AGUGAACGCUGGCGGUAGGCCUAACACAUGCAAGUCGAACGGCAGCACAGUAAGAGCUUGCUCUUACGGGUGGCGAGUGGCGGACGGGUGAGGAAUACAUCGGAAUCUACUUUUUCGUGGGGGAUAACGUAGGGAAACUUACGCUAAUACCGCAUACGACCUACGGGUGAAAGCAGGGGAUCUUCGGACCUUGCGCGAUUGAAUGAGCCGAUGUCGGAUUAGCUAGUUGGCGGGGUAAAGGCCCACCAAGGCGACGAUCCGUAGCUGGUCUGAGAGGAUGAACAGCCAAAUGGAAAAGGAGAAAGGGGCCAGACUCCUAAGGGAGGCAGGAGGGGGGAAUAUGGGAAAAGGGGCGAAAGCCUAAACCAGCCAUACCGGGGGGGGGAAGAAGGCCUUGGGGUUGAAAAGCCCUUUUGUGGGGAAAAAAAAGAAGCAGGUUAAAACCCCGUGGUUCUGACGGUACAAAAAAAAAAAGCACCGGCUAACUUGGU
This 491-nucleotide ribosomal RNA is filed under the name uncultured bacterium. Its description in RNAcentral is "partial 16S ribosomal RNA". It matches the Rfam family "Bacterial small subunit ribosomal RNA", at positions 29 to 506 of the family's 1533-position model. The record is from RNAcentral.